This 900-nucleotide ribosomal RNA is filed under the name uncultured eukaryote. RNAcentral's name for it is "SSU rRNA". It matches the Rfam family "Eukaryotic small subunit ribosomal RNA", at positions 538 to 1470 of the family's 1831-position model. The record is from RNAcentral.
AGCGCCGCGAUUCGCCAUGUGCCAAGCAGCCGCGGUAAUUCCAGCUCCAAUAGCGUAUAUUAAAGUUGUUGCGGUUAAAAAGCUCGUAGUUGGAUCUCGGCGAACAGGGGGCGGUUCGUUAUUUGACGGUACUGCCCCAUUUGUUCGUAUUUUUGCAAGAGGGUUGGGGGUCCCCUUCAUUGGGUGUCUCCGGUCGCUUGCAGGUUUACUUUGAAAAAAUUAGAGUGCUCAAAGCAGGCUUACACGCUUGAAUAUUCGUGCAUGGAAUAAUAGAAUAGGAAGUCGUUUCUAUUUUGUUGGUUUUCGGAAAAUGACUUAAUGAUUAAUAGGGACAAUCGGGGGCAUUAGUAUUCAAACGACAGAGGUGAAAUUCUUGGACCGUUUGAAGACUAACUACUGCGAAAGCAUUUGCCAAGAGUGUUUUCAUUAAUCAAGAACGAAAGUUAGAGGUUCGAAGGCGAUCAGAUACCGCCCUAGUUCUAACCAUAAACGAUGCCAGCUAGCGAUCUGCGGGUGUGUAAAAACAAGACCCCGCAGGGAGCUUCCGGGAAACCAAAGCUUGUGGGUUCCGGGGGAAGUAUGGUUGCAAAGCUGAAACUUAAAGGAAUUGACGGAAGGGCACCACCAGGAGUGGAGCCUGCGGCUUAAUUUGACUCAACACGGGAAAUCUCACCAGGCCCGGACACCGGAAGGAUUGACAGAUUGAGAGCUCUUUCUCGAUUCGGUGGGUGGUGGUGCAUGGCCGUUCUUAGUUGGUGGAGUGAUUUGUCUGGUUAAUUCCGAUAACGAACGAGACUCUGUCCUGCUAAAUAGUAAGCUGAUUACUUUGUCAGCUUGUCUUCUUAGAGGGACUGGCGGAUUUAAACCGCACGAGAUUGAGCAAUAACAGGUCUGUGAUGC